Ribosomal RNA from Pseudophryne corroboree (corroboree frog), 119 nucleotides. Lineage: Eukaryota; Metazoa; Chordata; Amphibia; Anura; Myobatrachidae. The record is from RefSeq and is a predicted model, not a curated record.
CUCUACUACCAUACCACGCUGCAAGCGCCCGAUCUCGUCUGAUCUUGGAAGCUAAACAGCGUUGGGCCAGGUCAGUACCAGGAAGGGAGACCACCUGUGAAUACCUGGUGUUGUAGAGC